UAUUGAUGUAACUGGAGUGAAUAAGGGAACCUUCUUCCUGAGCACAGACAUUGGAGCCUGUUAUCAGCAUGAACUCAUAUGUGUUAGACAAACACCUGAACAGUUCAUAUCCAUCCUUCACUACAGGAAGCAUCAGAAUGAUACCGCAAACUCCAAUAGUCUUAGACACCAAUGAUUAUUAACAAACAUUGGGAAUAUCACAGCAGAUAUUUAAAGAAAAUGGUGAAUUGGCAGGAACUGGGAAGCAAUCAUUAUGUACAGAGAGUAAUUUAGUCAUCAAACAAGAGGACAACAUUUAUGACUUAUCUAGUGAAAUGAUUAUCCCAGAGGAUAAACCACACACAUUUACUGAGUUUUCAAAACAUUUUAAAGAAGGGAAAAGUCUACAGUCUAGCCAAAUGAUUCAUACAAAGGAGAAACCAUUCAAAUCUACAGAAUGUGAGAAAAGCUUUAGAUGGAAAUCUUUACAAUAAAUAUACCGAAUAUCACAAAGAAAAAAAUGUGAAAUAAAUGUGAUAACAAAAAUCAUAAAAGGAAAACCAAAUAAAGUUCUGAAUCAAGGA
Long non-coding RNA from Bombina bombina (fire-bellied toad), 563 nucleotides. RefSeq lists it as uncharacterized. The record is from RefSeq and is a predicted model, not a curated record. The transcript has 2 exons. Lineage: Eukaryota; Metazoa; Chordata; Amphibia; Anura; Bombinatoridae.